GUGCAUAUCUCUCUUGUUCCUCUCACUCUCUCAACCUUCUCUCAUUUCUUCCUCUCUUUCUCUCUGCUUCUCUAUCCAUAUCUCUCUCUUAUUCUUCUCACUCUCUCAACCUUUUGUCUCAUUUCUUAACUCUAAUACAAGAGGUUUUGUGUUAGGUUAGCAAGUAAUUGUUCAUCUCUUUCAUACAAGUGAAGGCAGAAAUUCAUCUUUUUUUGAAGAAAUUAGAUUGUGCAUCUUCUUCAUCUAACUGAAGAAGAUUUUGAAAAUAAUUUCCUUAGAAGAAAAAUGUUAAAAGUGUCGGAGUUGGAGAAGGACUUGUUGCUGAGAUGAAAUUUUCUUACAGAAAUGCAAGAACUUUGUGGUUUGUGUUCAUUUUUAUUUACUUUUGUUUUUGCUUAAAAUCAUAACCACUUUUUGCUUAAAUUAUAAUCACUUUUAAAAGUGUUUAACAUUUAAACCCUUUAAGAUUUGUUUGCUCUAGGUUGCAACUUCUACAAGAAGAACAACUACUUCACAGAUUCCAAGGUUUGAAAAUUGAUUUUAGUGAGACUUGUCCACAUCACUACUAUAAGUGCAUGUUUAGUGUAACUUUUGGAAGGGUCAAAAGCAAUUUUAGAAAUGUAGAAUUGAUUUUAGGUGAUUUAAAGAUGUUUGUUUAGGAAAAAGUAGAAUUGAUUUUGUCUCAAGAAUUGAUUCUACUUGAAGAUAGAAUUUGUAGCUUCUGCCUCCAAAAUUGAUUCUGGAUAUUUUUUAUACUGAAAUUUAUUGUUCAACUCAUUUUUACAUAAAUGUAUCUAAACAUAAAUCAAUUAUGCUAAACUCAAUUUUAAUAGAAUCAAUUCUACCAAACUUAAUUCUGCUAGAAUCAAUUCAGUCCACUGCCAAUCCAAAGACACCCUAAGUUUUUUUAUUUGCUACCAUUGUUGAAGUGGAAACUACUGUAUGUGUUGUUAUAAUUUCUAAAGACAUAAAAAUGUGGCAAUAAUCUAACCAACUCCUAAUGUAGCAUUGAAAGAUAGUGAUGCAUUAUUUUUAUUCUAUUACUUUUAUAUUUUAAAGUUGUGGAUAGACUUUUAAAACAUUAAUUUUCAAAGAUGAAGCAAAUAAAUUUAUUUUUUUAAAGAAUUAUUUUUUAGUGAAUUAUUUUUGAAAAAGUCAUGGCUGGUCGACACAGGUAACUAAUUAUUUUUUUAAAAUCUUUUCCAAUAAAAAUAUUGAGAACUUUAAAAUUUAAUAUAUCAAGGUAGGGGGCUCAUGAGUCAUAAUUUGUAUAACUUUUUAGAAGAAAAAAAUCAUAUAUUAUAAAUAAUCGAUAUUAUAUAUCUAAAAUAAGGUUUCUAAAUGAUACUUAGAAACUGAAUUUCAAAAUAUAUUUUUAUGUUGCUAUUAUAUAUUCCUAACGAAUAAUUUUAUUUUGAUAUUUUUAGUAAAUGUGUGAUCUUAAUAUCUAUUUUUUAAUUAAAUAUCAACGUUACAAAAAUAUAGUCAAAGACCCACACACUAACACUAAUGAUUCAAUAUUCUUCGCCUUCUAUUUUAUUUUUCAUAUAUUAAUAUUUUUGAUGAUGUUGAUUAACUAUAGAAAACAAAUUUUGACCAAUGAAAAAACUCCAUAUACCAUUUCAAGAGUAUCUUAUAUUUUCUCGGGAUAUUCACAAGUAUGAACAUAAAAGAACUGACUAUCAUUUAAAGACAUAACUAACAAAUUCUUUAUUUUGAAAUCAAAUUAGAACUUUCUCUUAUCCUCCAUGGGCCAAAGGAAAUCAAGUUUAUCUACUACUUCUCCAUUUAUAUGGUGAGUAGGGAUAACAGGACAAUAAUUAUUGUCUCCCACAAUUCAAAAUAAAAACUUUGAUUGAAGAUUUUAAAUCUUACUUGGCAUAGUUCAAACCUAUCACCAUUAAACAAUGUAGGUGUGAUUAGGAAAUAUCUCUUCUUAAUAAUAGUGUUGUAAUUCAUCCUCCUCCUAAAUCAGAGUUUAAAUAUAUUUUCAAGAAAAUGAUUGAAUAUUGUAGUGGAAAAUCAGGGUAAAGAAAAUAUGCAAAAAAGUAAAGAGAUAAGAGAAAAUAGAUGACACUGAAGAUUUAUAGAGGUUCAAUAUGAAUUAAGUGACCUACUCCUCUACCCAAGGAUUGAUCUUGAUACUUUCCAAUAAUGCUUAUGAUCUUUUAGAAGGUUAUGCCCACGAACCCCAAGCUAAAUUGAGAUUUUGGAUGGACUUAUCUCGAACUAAUGUGGAGUUUUUGUAGAUGUUUUCAUGUUGGCUGCAUUUGUGGUAAAACAUACCUGGGUGUUUAAUGUCUUGACAAAUGUCAUGACAUGCUUUAUAUGGUGUUAUGCAGGUUGCAUAUGUUUAAACUAAUACAUGUUUUGUUAGUAAAUGUCAUGACUGAUGUCAUGACAUCCAUGUUUGACAGUAGGAGCUGUUAUGUUUUUCUAUUAUGUUUCCUGAUUUCUCUCAAUCUACAAUUUAGGAAACAUUUUAUUAUGUGCUCAAUAUUUCGCCUAGAAGAUUUCGUUAACAACACAUUAUGUAACAGCCUGAUGACGUGUGAAUUAGGUUAACUUGGUUAACCCUAUUUUGUUUCUUAAAAAGCCCGAUGCCCAAGAGCUGUAUAUAAGAAGACUCCAAUCCUAAUUUGGAAUGCAAUGAGAUUUGUUAUUUGUGAAGAACCGUAGUUCUGUGUGUGUUUAGUCUCUUGUACUCUAAGCAAUUGUCUUUUGAUGAUUGUAUUGGAAUAAGUGUUUUUGUACUUUGUCACUCUAAGCUUUUAAGCACGAGUGUGUGCCUCUUGAUUGAAGCUUUUAAGCAGAUCAAGGUGUGUUUUUGAAGUGUGUCUUCUCUUUUUUUUUUUAUAGUAAAGUCUGUUUGUAAUCACUGUAGUGAUUGAGGGGGAGUGAGUGGAGAUACUCAGGUCUAGGACUAGAUUGGAAUUGCAUUGGGUAGGCCUUAAGUGAUGAGUUGUAAACGAAGGAGUUUAGCUCUGAAUUAAUACUGCUUAUAUUGGAUUCCCUCCCUGGCUUGGUAGCCCCCUGAGUAGGUAUUGUUGUAUACCGAACUGGGUGAACAAUUCGCUGUGUUCUUUGCUAUUAAAAUGUGUAAAAAAUAAUUCUAAAAAAUGUGAAAAAAAUAAAUAUUAAAAUAGACGGGCAAACCCGCUGCCACCUUGGCGAGGCGUCCUAGAUUUUUAUGGUCAUUUUCACUUGGCGGACUUGUCUGCCCCGCUCUUUUUUUUUUUUUUACGGGCAUAAGGCAGGGCAGGCCUGGCGGCCCUUUUCCACCCCUAAUUAGGGCAUAUCGAUGGUAAUCUUUAAACCCUAACUAUUCGGUUUUAUUCGGAGGAAGAGUUUGAACAAACUAUCAUGUGCAUCUUUGAUUGCUUGAAAUAUUUUUAGAACUUGUUUGUCUUUAUGUGGUAUUUUCACCAAAUUCAAGAUAUGAUGAAUAAAACUGUGAAUAAUUGAACCUUUAUAUAGCUUCCUUUUUAAUAUUGUUGUUUGAUUUGAUCCUUGAUAAAAGAGUCAUUGUGUUUUUGUUACUAUUUGCAUUAGGCUAUUUCAUUUGUUUUAUACUCGUAAUAGAUAUUGUCACACACGACGUUAUACCUUUUGACACCUAAAGCUUCUACCAUUGUAUCUUGUGUAUUAUUCUUUAAUUGUUUCUCAAAUUUGAUACAUUAACAUUUGAGAGAGAAACCAACUAAAUUAUUCUUCCAGAGAAUAAUUUUACUGACGAUUACUAGAGGAACAAACUCAAAGAGGAUGAUAACUUAAUCUUCUACCAAAGUAUCAAACUGCUGAUUUUAACCUUUAAAUUUGCCAUGAUUAAAAGUUGAGUAGGAUUCAUUUACAUUUUAAUUGAUUUGUUAACUUAACGUUUAAAACUAAAUAAUUGACCGUUGAUAAUACUAUCAAAAUCAUUAAUAUUUACUUACGAUUUAUUUUAAUUUUUCCGUCUAUGAUUUGAGUCUGUUUAAGAAAUAGUCAUCUUAAACUUUAAAAAUGUGAUUUUAUAUAUUUACAAGUUUUUUAAUAUUUAAAAUUUUGGUUAGGUAAAACAAGAAAAAUAAAACAAAUAUAAAAUAGCUAUGAUAUUAUUAAAAUUUAGUGCAAUUUUUAAAUGUUUGAUCCACUAUUAAAUGUAAAAUGUGUAAUAUAAUGUAUAAGGAAAAAUCAAAAUUUUGUAAUUAGGUCAUACAAUAUUAUUGGACAAGAAAAAAAAACCCAACAAAUCAUUCAAAUUCACUUGCAACCAACUUAAACCGAUUUGAAAAUUAGGCGGAAAUCCUAUUAGCCCAAUCGCAACUUCUAAGUUUAAAUUGAGUAAUAUGUUUGAACUCAGUCCAAACAAUCCGUUGUUGUUAUUGUUAUUAUUAUUAUUAUUAUUAUUAUUAUUAUUAUUAUUAUUAUUAUUAUUAUUAUUAUUAUUGUUGUUUUUUUCAAGAUGAAAAUACAACAUUAUUAGUCAUAUCUGUCUCAAAUUGUUUUUUUUUUCUUCUUAAUUUUGUGUGAACAAAUCCAUCUCAACUUAUUUCUAAUAUUAUUGCCAAGCAUGAGGUUGCUAAUGCUGGGUUGCCUCUAAUUAAAGUCAAAGGUCCUAAUCACUGUCUGAGAUUUAUAAAUUUGAAAUGAAUGAAUGGUAAUGGCGUUAGUAAAUGGGACACUUGAUAGAAGAUUGUUUUGUCAAUCCCACACCCAUUGGUUUCACUAUCCCUUAUUCUCCAAACACAUCACAUCCAACAAUAAAAAUACAAAGACAAAAACACAAUAAUUAAAAGAUAGAAGAAAAUAGACAUGACAUGAAACGUAGCAUCUCUCAGUCCAUGCACUCCUUCCCCUUGUUGUCUUGUAGUUGUCAAAUUAAUACACGCUCUCACGGACACUUAUUUUGUCAACUUUAUUUUCUACAUUUACCUUUAAUUUAAUUGAGUAGAUUUACCUUCAUCAAAUAAAAUAAUAAAUAUUUAAUAUCAUGUCAUAUUUUAAUAUUAUUAUUUUUUAAAAAUAAAUUAAAUCUUUAAAUUCAUUAACAUUAAAGGUAUUGGAACUCAAUUAAAAUUCAUGAAUACUAAUAAAUUUAUCAUAUUUUUUUAAUAGGUUGUAUACAGGGACGGACCUAAAAAAUUUGAGUUGUGGGGGUAAUUUGUAAAAAUUUGUAGGGUUAAAUAAAUAUUAAAUUAUAUUUAAAAAUAUAAUUAUGUUAUUAUUAUUAUUAUUAUUAUUAUUAUUAUUAUUAUUUUCUACAAUAUUUUAUUUUAAAAUAUCUUAAAUGUAGUUUUAUAUUCAACAUUAUAAA
Vicia villosa (hairy vetch) is the source of this 5296-nucleotide long non-coding RNA. RefSeq lists it as uncharacterized. The transcript has 4 exons. Lineage: Eukaryota; Viridiplantae; Streptophyta; Magnoliopsida; Fabales; Fabaceae. The record is from RefSeq and is a predicted model, not a curated record.